UACGUAGGGGCGAGCGUUGUCCGGAAUUAUUGGGCGUAAAGGGUUCGCAGGCGGUCUGAAUAGUCAGAUGUGAAAGAUCAUGGCUUAACCAUGGUAAGCAUUUGAAACUGUCAGACUUGAGUUAAGGAGAGGAAAGUGGAAUUCCUAGUGUAGCGGUGAAAUGCGUAGAUAUUAGGAGGAAUACCAGUGGCGAAGGCGACUUUCUGGACUUAUACUGACGCUGAGGAACGAAAGCGUGGGGAGCAAACAGGAUUAGAUACCCUGGUAGU
This 269-nucleotide ribosomal RNA is filed under the name uncultured prokaryote. RNAcentral describes it as "partial 16S ribosomal RNA". It matches the Rfam family "Bacterial small subunit ribosomal RNA", at positions 524 to 794 of the family's 1533-position model. The record is from RNAcentral.